UACGGGGGGGGCAAGCGUUGUUCGGAAUUACUGGGCGUAAAGGGCGCGUAGGCGGUUCGCUAAGUUGGAUGUGAAAACUCUGGGCUCAACCCAGAGCCUGCAUCCAAAACUGGCGGGCUAGAGUUCUGGAGGGGGUAGCGGAAUUCCUGGUGUAGCGGUGAAAUGCGUAGAUAUCAGGAGGAACACCCGGGGCGAAGGCGGCCCUCUGGCUCGACCCUGACGCUGAGGCGCGAAAGCGUGGGGAGCGAACGGG
Molecule: ribosomal RNA, 253 nt
Filed under: uncultured bacterium
Lineage: Bacteria
Description: partial 16S ribosomal RNA
Rfam family: Bacterial small subunit ribosomal RNA
Source: RNAcentral